RNAcentral lists this ribosomal RNA (254 nucleotides) under uncultured bacterium. RNAcentral's name for it is "partial 16S ribosomal RNA". It matches the Rfam family "Bacterial small subunit ribosomal RNA", at positions 524 to 776 of the family's 1533-position model. The record is from RNAcentral.
CACGUAGGGGGCGCGCGUUGUCCGGCUUUCUUGGGCGUAAAGAGCUCGUAGGCGGUUCGGCAAGUCGGGUGUGAAAUUUCGAGGCUCAACCUCGAAACGCCACUCGAUACUGCUGUGACUGGAGUCCGGUAGAGGAGUGCGGAAUUCCUGGUGUAGCGGUGAAAUGCGCAGAUAUCAGGAGGAACACCAACGGCGAAGGCAGCACUCUGGGCCGGUACUGACGCUGAGGAGCGAAAGCGUGGGGAGCAAACAGG